Molecule: transfer RNA, 74 nt
Filed under: Candidatus Levybacteria bacterium RIFOXYB1_FULL_40_17
Lineage: Bacteria; Candidatus Levyibacteriota
Also listed under: 1 other name
Description: tRNA-Gly
Rfam family: tRNA
About the family: Transfer RNA (tRNA) molecules are approximately 80 nucleotides in length.
Source: RNAcentral
GCGGGUGUGGUUCAAUGGCAGAAUGCAUCCUUCCCAAGGAUGAGACGAGGGUUCGAUUCCCUUCACCCGCUCCA